Cebus imitator (Panamanian white-faced capuchin) is the source of this 280-nucleotide long non-coding RNA. RefSeq lists it as uncharacterized. The transcript is spliced from 2 exons. Lineage: Eukaryota; Metazoa; Chordata; Mammalia; Primates; Cebidae. The record is from RefSeq and is a predicted model, not a curated record.
CUUUGCUACAAAAAUGCCUAGGCACAGUAACCAACAAGAAUACAACUGACAAGUAGUUUGACCAGAUCUGAAGGAAGUAUUCCUUAGAAGGUAAGUGGACACAAGAAAAAUAAGCCAAAAACUAGACUAUUGUAAAAUCUUUCUUCUAAAGGACCAGCUUCACAUUAGCAUGUACCUUCUUCCACUAAAACUGGUCAGAUUCAACUUCAAUCAAAUUCAUCUAGUCAACAAAGAUCCACAGUCUCUCAAACUCGUUUAAAUUCUACUGCUUCUAAGAGAU